GACGUCACAGGAAGCAGUGAGGCGGGGCUCCUCCUACUUCCGGAAUCUAAACCGAAAGUCAGAAGUUUGUCCGUUAUACAGAGAGACACGAGCGGAGUGAAGCAGCGGAUAAAGAAAUUAAAGAGGAAGAGCAGAACUGCAGGAGGGAAGUGUCAGAGCUUUAGCGCCCCCAGUGGCCGUGUAGAACGGUGCAGCGGUGACGUCACAUGAAGGGAGGAGGUCCUCCUACUUCCGGAAUCUAAAGCGAAAGUCAGAAGUUUGUCCGUUAUACAGAGAGACACGAGCGGAGUGAAGCAGCGGAUAAAGACAUGCAGUCCUGCAGCGUCCAUCACUGUGUCCUGUUCUUACUCACACUCACAUUCACCACUGAUCCUGGAUCAGCUGCUGAGUUUCCUAUUUAUGCGAAGCUCCAUCAGCCUGUGACUCUCCCAUGUGGAGCUCAGUGUUCUGGUCGGGCCAAAUGGAGUUUGGACAGUAAUAGAGACGACGUCUUCGCUCGGUGUGAUCAGACAUCAUGUAGAUCACUGAAGGACGGAUAUGAAAUGUCUUAUGAUCAGGUUAAGAAGGGAGAUCUCUCUCUCACCAUCACUAAAGCUGAUUACAGUAUGAGGAAGACGUACACGUGUGAGUGUGAUCUCUCAGACUACGCUACUGUGCGCCUCAGAAUCUCCCGUAAGUGUGUUUAUCUCUUCUACUGCUGAUAAAUCCUUCACUCUU
Molecule: long non-coding RNA, 717 nt
Organism: Clarias gariepinus (North African catfish)
Lineage: Eukaryota; Metazoa; Chordata; Actinopteri; Siluriformes; Clariidae
Exons: 4
Source: RefSeq, a predicted model, not a curated record